GCUCAGCGUGCAGCUGCUCCGCCGUCUCCGACCACCUAUCAUACUUUAGAUGACUUCUUUAAUAAUCUUCCUGUAUUUAUCUCUAAUUGUUUCAUCUAUAGCUCUGCAGCAGGAUGUGCAGGUGAAGCUUGGAGAGGACGUCACUCUCCAGUGUCAGAUUACCACAGAUGAAAGAAUCUCAGUGCUGAAGUGGAGCAGAGCUGACCUGAACACAGACGGCUACGUCUACUUCUACAGGAACAAACGCUCCUAUGAAAACUACCAACAUCCAUCUUUUCAUGGCCGAGUGAAGCUGAGGGACCCAGAGAUGAAGGAUGGAGACGUUUCUCUGAUCCUGAACAACGUCACGUUUAAUGACACUGGGAUGUAUGAGUGUCACAUAGCAGUGAGGAAGUCUGUGAGAAGUAAAAGAGUUCACACUGAGAUCAGUCACUUCAUCAACCUCACAGUCACAGGUGAAACGCAUGAAAAUAUGCAUGAGAGACACAUCGUGGAAAGAGAAGAUGGAAGUGGAAACAUGUAUGACAUGCAACAGGCUGGAAAUCCGCCUGUCCUUAUGUUUGCUGGAGUUACUGCCAUCAUCAUCGUCAUCAUUGUUGUUCCUGCAUUUCUUUUGUUUGUGCUGCUCCUUAAAAUCAUAAGAAACAAAAAACUAGCUGUGCCUCCUAAUCAGGAAGCUACUGGUCUGAAAUGUUAAAGUUUCUUUUUUUUAAAGAAACUUCAAACGCUGAUAUUUACAUUCUUGCAAUAUCAAUUCCUUUUAGUACAUUUAUCAAGUAAUCAAAACUAAAAGAACCUCGCUGUUUCGGUUGAGCAAUUUGACAGUAUUUAGAGGGGGAAAAAAAUAGAAAAAGAAAAAAGCACUCAAGUUGUCUGCAGAGAAGACAAACACAACUUUGCCAGUUGUCUAGAUAACAUUAACCUUAAAAAAAAAAUCAAAAAAAAAAAAAUCCAGUUUUAAAUUUAAAACUGGAUUUUUUUAAAUGCUAAAAAUAGGUUUAGACAAAGUAAAGGAAAUGACUGAUUCUGGGUCAGAAGUCAUCACCAACGAUGAUCCAGACCUCAGGAUUAAAAAGGAACAGUUUUAAUGAUAAAAUGAUUACUGAAGAUGUGCCGCUGGCCUUGAAGCUGAAAAGAGUUAAACUCAGGAUACAUUUCAAGUUGCUGAGUUAAAUAGCAAAGAUUUUUUAUUAAUUAAAAAAACUGAGCUUUUAAAAAUGUGUAGUUUGAGUUUCUCCUUUUCCUCUUUAACUUCAUUUCCCACAGUGAGCAUCUGAGCUUCAGCCCUUUGCACUGUUUCCCCGCCUUCUUUGAACUUUCUGUUUCUGUUCUCGCACACGCUCUGCGUAAAUAAUUUGAUUGGGUGAGCAGCAUCGUGUGGGAUAACCUAUAAUGCACGCGAGUGAUCUGUGCCAUCUUCGGCCAGAUUAAAAUAUAUGGGAAUAAGAACUGUAUGUAUGAGAAAAGGUCCGCAGAGUGAUCGGUAAUAGAUCUGGGUGCAGAUCCAGUCCGUGGUUUGCAUAUUGGUGAUGUGGCAUUAGAUUGAAAAAAAAUACUCAGUGGCUAAACAUGAAUUCAAACCUCCACACAGGUUUAUGUUAAAGGUAAAAACAGAUUUGUUUGAAGGUUGAUGUGGGAUUAAAGGAGUUGUAUCAGCUCUGCAAGCAGAAAACUGAACAGAACCUUAGUCUCAACGUCCUCAUAUUAAUACAGGAAGUUACUGAACACAUGAGACAGAAGCAACAUGUUUUCAUUAUGCUCACCUCAAACAAGCCAACUGAUGAUGCUCAGGUAACAGCAGUGGACGGAAAAAGGCUGGAAUUUGUAUUUUUGGUGCUAUUUUUCUUGGAAUUGUGUGAAUUUUCUUAAUUUAAAUGUAUUAUUUAAUUAAUAAAUUUUUUCCUGUCCUUUCCGAAAGUGUAGCAUUCAGGAUUGCUGAAGGCUAAAAAUGCCCAAUGGUUUACAUUCCCAAGUGGACCAUUAUGGCAUUUGCUACAAUGGUCCACUUGAUAGUUAUAAUUUAUUAAAACUUUAUUAGGAUUUUUUUUUUAUUUUGAGUUAUUACAACCACAGCAGACAAGAACAGGGGACAGAAAAGAAAAAGAGAGAGCGAAAACCUUGAAAAUCUUCCUCAACACCUGAAAUGAAAACAUACAAAGAAAAUAAAGUUUUAAUUUCAGUGGCAGAUCUCACACACGCUGCUCACUGCUGUAAAACUGAAAAUGAGGUUUAGUGAUUAGAAAACUAAAAAGCUGGAGCCAUAAGGUUCUUUCCACAUUAAGAAACUGUGAUUAUGAAAGUUUCAUGCUGACUUGAGAAUUGCUACAACUGACAAACAAAGAAUAUCUUUACACAACACAGUAACCGACCUCUGACUAUAUAAAGAUCAUUUAGAGACAUUUCGCUUUUGUAUUGAAACCACAAAAUAUUAAUUAACAUUAAUUAACAAAAUAAAAAUUCUUUGAUUUGUAUUUAAUUUUGUGUUUCAUUUUAAAAUGUCAUUUUACUGAAAGUUCAUGAACUUCAUGAGCUCUGAAUCCACUCUGUGUCAGCUGCUUUAUGUUCACGCUGAGGUGACCUGUAAUGAUACAUACUCUGCACGAUUAAACUUUCUCCUGCACUCUCUCUGUUUAUCUGCAGUAACAGAAACAGAACAAAUCAUCUUUUUUUCCUCUUCCUCAGUUAAAAAAAAGACGUCUAGAUAGUGUGUGACAGAUUUUAUGUUGAUGAUGUUUGAAUAUUUGUGUCUUCGAUGAUGAUCCUAGUUGUCACUCAAGCUGCUCUGCUGCCACCUGGAGGCUUGAAAGUGUUAAAGCAUCAAUCUACAGCUCAGUGAAUGUGACAUCAGAAUAACCAGCACAGCCAAAGAAUCCUGAAUAAACUGAAGUGUUUGCAGUACAGCUGCAGUGCUGAUGGGUCGCACUUCACUUCCGCUCAAAGUGAGAGUCCAGAUUCAAGUUUGAACAAAACUUGCAAAGAAAAAGUUAAAGCUGUUGUGUUGAUAUUUGAAGUGCUUUGAUUAUUUUUGGAUAACAAGAGAACAUGCGCAUCAGCUAAGAAGGAAAAAAGUUCACAUUAACUGAGACUGAUGACUAACUAAACAUAAUUAGUUUUAUUUUUGAGCAGCUGAAAGUAGCUACAAGCUAUGUCCUCUUUCAAAGUUACAGCAAUCUACACACAGAUCUUCAGGUAUCUGUUACAAAUUGGUACGAAAGCUUUUGUACAAACAGUUCCGCUGCGUUUAUUACCUAGCCUUUUAUUGUUAAACAAGUCAACGGACUUGCUGUAGUAAGAAGUUACCUUUAUGAGAUUAUGCCUUUAUCCCAAUUCAGGGUCUGCAGCCUUGGAGCAUGUGGCCUUCGCGAUCUACGUGGGCCAUGUCCUCAAAGACCGAGAAGGCCGGAAGUGUGCUUGUGAAAUGGGACGGUCUAACCUCCAUCCCCAGGUUGCCUAGCAACCAUGAUACUAACAGCCGGAAACGUUUCAUACAUCAUUGUUUAACAGAAAUUAAGGAGAAAAUCUUUUGUUCAUUUGUUUGUUUGUUUGUUUUUACAUGAGCUCUGUGUGAUUUGAUAAGUAUCUGAGGCUGAGACCACAGGACUGUAAAACAUGAUAGUUGGGCUUCAUUUCUGUACUGAACAGUCAUUUUAAGAUUAGCUAGUAAAUAACAAUUAGCUAAUGUUGUUCAUGAGACUAAAGUCAUCUUACUUUGAUAAUGUAAAUAUAAUAUGGCCAAUAUUAUAGUUAUUAUAUUAAUCAUUAUUAGUUAUUACAGCAGUGAACAUGAACUCUGUGUCAAAUACUGAGCUUCAGUAAAGAUUCAAGUUGCAGUUAUUUAUAUGUACUAUCACCUUAAAUGUUCACUCAAAGACAAGUAUCUUUGACAGUGUAUAUACAGAUGUAUUAUAUAUAAGAGACAAACAUUGUUCUUUUAAUAUGUUGGCAUUACUAAAUUUGGCUUUGUUUUGCUUUUUUUAAUCAACAUAAAGUGAACUUUUUUAGUCAUGCACAGAGAGCCUGGUGUGGUUGCGGAUCUAAAUGCAGAAAGAGGAGAUGUUUUUACGCCUGAUGCGGUGAAAUUUUCCUUCAAACUUUGUUUGGUCAACUGUGGUUUGUUUAAAAAUGUUAAAUGUCAUGUUUUAAUGUCAGUUUCAUGCAUUAAAAAUGCUUUUGUUACGGUUUGGAGGAGGACUCAAGCGCAGGACUCCGAUUCUGAUGCUCACAGAAAGGGUUUAUUUACAAUGCACCAGGUGUAUAUACAAGAAUGUGCGGGGGGUGCUAUAUACAGCUGAGUGAGGGGAGAAGGGGUCUCCAGGGAAGUCCAGGGGAAAGCACGCGUUCUUCAGAGUAUCCACUCACACGAUCACAGGCUUACACGGGAAUCACACGGGGGGAAAAUCCAGGGAGCUCUGUAGACAGGGAGACAGGGUAAGUACGACGCACACAGGAAAACACUCUUAACUAACUUGCUGUAGCUUGGCUUCACUAACGCGUGGUAGACAACGAUCCAGCGACGAACAGCAGUCACCUCCUGGCUUAAAUGCUGACCAUCAUAAUGAGACCCAGGUGUCUCAUCUCCCGAGGGCGUGGGCCGAGGGCGUGAACCCACAGUGAGUUCCGCCCCGGCGAGAGAGAAGCGGAGAGAGAGAGGAAGAGAGCGAGAGGAACAGAGAGAGCUGAUCAGCGUGCAGCUGAUCCGCCUGGCCGUGACAGUACCCCCCCCCCGACGGGAGCCUCCCGGCGACUCCCAGGCUUGUCAGGGUGAGCCGCAUGGAACGCCCGCACCAUACCCCGAUCCAGAAGGGCCGUCCGCGGGAUCCAAGAACGCUCCUCCAUCCCGUAGCCCUCCCAAUCCACGAGAUACCGCAGACCGUGCCCCCGGCGCCGGACAUCCAUGAUCCAUGAAAUGGUGAAAGCCGGGUGGCCAUCAAUGACCCGGGCGGGUGGAGGGGGCCUGGAAGGAGGGCACAGAGGACUAGAGA
Long non-coding RNA from Oreochromis aureus, 4982 nucleotides. The record is from Ensembl. NCBI's taxonomy places the organism in Eukaryota, Metazoa, Chordata, Actinopteri, Cichliformes, Cichlidae.